This is a long non-coding RNA of Halichondria panicea, 3180 nucleotides long. RefSeq lists it as uncharacterized. Lineage: Eukaryota; Metazoa; Porifera; Demospongiae; Suberitida; Halichondriidae. The transcript is spliced from 5 exons. The record is from RefSeq and is a predicted model, not a curated record.
GUUAGUUAUUAGUCUCAUGAGACUUUAGAAUUGCGUAUAGUAAGGCUACACGUGUCCUGUGCUUUAUUUAAAGUGAAGUCCAAGCGUGGAAGAAUUGACUGUGGUGUUCUAGAGCUUGAAAACUAGUUAUUAUUGGUCUGUGCCCCCUUUUAAGAAGCACUGCCGUAGCCAAAUGAUGCUUUGCCUACAGAUCCUGCUUAUUUGUGUCUAUGUUGACGAACUGGCCUGCAUACAUUUCCUUGGUUAAAUCUCUUUUGUAAAAUGGAGGCUGUAAAAGAUGAGAAAGUGUUAUAUUAGUUUGUGCCCCUUUUAAGAAGCACUGCUGUAAGCCUAUGAUGUUUUACCUACAUAUCUUGUUUUGUUGUGUCUCUGUUGAUCAACUAGGCUGCAUAAAUUCUUGAUUUUUAUUUUCUUAAGCAUGUUUUUUUUACUUUUAGCUAUAAAUGGAGGCUACAAAAGAUGAAAAAAGUCGAUAACGUAGCACAUCACGGAUAGUCACAUUUUCGACUGUUGCCAAUCCCUUUCCUUACUUUAUCUCUGGCUGCACAGCCCCCUCAUGCUCAUCCGUGACAACAAGGCCACGUCUCCUGGGCAAUUUACUUGUUUACCAAGUUGCUGGGUAAGAGAGUGUUUAAGAGAUACCUCGAGCUGUUCCUGGACUCCCCAUAUUUCAUGGACUGGUGGGUUAUUAUGACUCUAGAAGCCAUUAUUUACAAGUUUGCUCCAAAACACUUUCUGUUUGUGUACUUUGCUGCAAUUUCAACAUUGAUAAUGUACUCCAGUUAUUUACAUGUACACACAUGCAUGCACAUGCACACACAAAUGUCUGGUGCAAUAUGCUGGAGUCUCACCUCACUAUGUCAGCUGCUGGAAAGAAUGAUCCUCAGAGGGAGAAUAAAACAACACAAAGCAAUAGCAAUAUGACAAUGCCCUGGUGCAGUCUGCUGGAGUGGACUGUCUCACUUCACUCUGUCAGCUGCUGGGGAUAAUGAUCCUCAGAGGGAGAAUAGAACAACACGAUCCAAUGUCCAUACGCCUGGUUAUGGUAUUCAGUUCAAUCUCCUCUCUGCAUGGGUGACACCUCCUCAUAAACAGGACCAGUUGGUGCAGUGGGUCCUAUACAUUAUCUUGCUCUUUAGCUGACGGGGAGUACACAUUCUUCUUAUGCAUGAACAAAUACAUUAUCAAGAGUCCCAUCAACAAUUCAAUGACGGUGAAUAGAAUGCCAUGACAACCACGCUGAUGGAGACAGCUCCAUCAAAUCGACUCCCAUCAGAUAGGCUGGCGCAAUUGUAAGAAACAGCUGUAUAAGUGGUUCAAGAGGAUCUCUACUGGGUUUUGGUCCCACUCUCCUGUAGCUGGACAGGUGGCAGUCAUUAUGCCCUCAGCCUCAGGGAAGAGUCCAUCAUCACACUGGAAUGUCACUUGCAUGUUUACCGGAAAGAGCAGGUACUGAAUGAUCACUGAUGGUGCCACUCUGUGGUGAGGAUAGUGGAGCCGUGCAGUUCAUUGGAGGAGCUGUGUAAAUAACAUACUGUUGGGAAGUAUUAAUUUUCAUAACAAUGCUCAGUAGAGCAUUCACACUGUGCGUUGAGCUUCAUCGCACAGCAGCAAAACGGAUACAAUAACUUUUUACCGUAACGAGUUUAUCAUUAUGGGGAAUAUAAUUAUGAUCGUGAAUUUAUAAAGCAACGAUUAAAUCAAUUGGUUUGUCGCCUUCGAAGAUCGCCUAAAAGUUUCAAGUACAGCAGUUAAAGCAGCCUAUGAAAGUGUCUAGUUCGUUCAAACAGCUCAUUUUGUGUCCAUGCAUGUACACACAUAUACACAUUAUACAUCUGCAUUUAUUGUGUAACACGCUUCAAGUUUGUAUAGAUUCAUGUCGACAGCUGAGGGUUAGCACUUUUAAAUUAGUGCUCUAGUUUACCAAGCCAUCAGAUAAUAGAUUUCUGUUGCCAUUAAGCUCCUCUUCUAUUGACUGUGUGUGGAUUCAUUGCCAACAAUUGCAAACAAUAAUGAAAGCACCGCAGGUGCUGAUGCCUCAGUGGAUGUGCCAACAUAAACCUACUAGCUGAUAUUGCUAAUACACACGUGAUAUGAUUAUCAUGAUGAAUAUUUUUGCAUCUAGAGUGGGAUCGAAAUGAUCAUGAUUGUUGCUAAAGAGGAUGCUAAAAGUACAAAGUUUAUGGCUGCUGCAUCAGUGUAUAGAGCCUUGCAGCUCUCUAGCGUUCUAGUACAGAGCUAACUACUGAGUAGCAACACUCCAUGGACAACUUUUGCUACACAUGCACUCUUCUGAAAGGCUGCAAUGGCAUUCCAAAAUUAGGCAUAACUCGAGAACGAAGCAUUCUUUUGGAAAUCCACGAAUCAGAAUCCAUGAAAACAUUACUAGAACCCUAUAGAAACUUUUACUUGCAGCUUAUUGAUCUUUGAGCAGCUGUAGCAGUCUACAUACACACAUGCACACAUACAAACACACACUGCCGUAUACCUUGCUUGCACAUACACACCGAGGCAUAAUAAUAACUUAACAGUAUCCAAAGCAUACAAAUACCUCUUCUAUGAUCGUAUUAUAAUUAUGAUCAUAGAAGAGGUAUUAGUAUACUUUGUAUUUGAGUGUUAUAUGACAUAAUUAUAACACUCUAAUACCUUAAUUGAGCGAAGCUAAACAUGGCGAGAGGCAUUAGCACAGCGCACCACUCAUUUAAUAUAGCUUCUUUUUUAAUACAAAAGAUGUAGUGGCUUUUAAUGAACAGAUGUUGCUGCUUACAGUUGUUAAAAUCGUUUACGAGCAUGCACAUUAACACAGAAGUUUCACUGUCCUACUGGUCCAUACGCCUGGUUAGUAUUCAGUUCAAUCUCCUCUUUGGGUGACACCUCCUCAUAAACAGGACCAACUGGUGUAGUGGGUCCAACAUUAGCUUGUCCUUUAGCUGCUGGGGAGCAUACUGCCUUCUUACGCAUGAACAAAUACAUGAUCAAGAGACCUAUCAAUAAUCCAAUGAUUGUGAACGCAACUGCUGUGACAACAACGCCGAUGGAGACAGCUGCAUCAAAUCGACUCCCAUCAGAUAGGCUGGCACAACUAAAAGGAGCAGCUGUAGGUUGUUCAAGAGAGAAGUAUUAUUACAAGUGUAUAUUCAAGUAAUGAAUACACUUGCCUCUGCAGACGAUCUCCUCGUC